This 354-nucleotide long non-coding RNA is filed under the name Coffea arabica (coffee). Its description in RNAcentral is "long non-coding RNA (CARA_LNC003752)". The record is from RNAcentral. Lineage: Eukaryota; Viridiplantae; Streptophyta; Magnoliopsida; Gentianales; Rubiaceae.
UCCUAGAGAGUAACCUUCACUUGAGCAACCUCACAACCCAACUUUCCCAACCCCUUAUACAACCAACAAAGAAUCUUUCUACUCAAAAAUCUCACUUGUAAGCUUGUAUUUUGUGUUGGCAAAAGUCUCUUGUCUUCUUGUGCUUUGGGGUUUUUAUAGAAGGUGAGAAAUGGCUCCAAAAGGCUCUCCAACGGUCAAAUAUUAAAUGCUGUCAAAACUAGCCGUUGGCCUGUCGGACGGACGUCCGUCCAAACCACCUGUCGGACGUCCGAACCCUGCGUCCGAACGUCGUCAGAGAGUCAUCAAAUCUUUGCGAAAUUUCUCGGACGUCCGAUGCGAUCGAUGUGCGUCCGA